This 306-nucleotide ribosomal RNA is filed under the name uncultured bacterium. RNAcentral describes it as "partial 16S ribosomal RNA". It matches the Rfam family "Bacterial small subunit ribosomal RNA", at positions 507 to 807 of the family's 1533-position model. The record is from RNAcentral.
GACAGCAGUCGCCGCGGUAAUGCGGAGGGUGCAAGCGUUACUCGGAAUCACUGGGCGUAAAGGACGCGUAGGCGGAUUAUCAAGUCUCUUGUGAAAUCUAACGGCUUAACCGUUAAACUGCUUGGGAAACUGAUAAUCUAGAGUAAGGGAGAGGCAGAUGGAAUUCUUGGUGUAGGGGUAAAAUCCGUAGAUAUCAAGAAGAAUACCUAUUGCGAAGGCGAUCUGCUGGAACUUAACUGACGCUAAUGCGUGAAAGCGUGGAGAGCAAACAGGAUUAGAUACCCCGGUAGUCCCUGUCUCUUAUAC